CAAUAAAUUAAAACUUUCAACAACGGAUCUCUUGGUUCUGGCAUCGAUGAAGAACGCAGCGAAAUGCGAUAAGUAAUGUGAAUUGCAGAAUUCAGUGAAUCAUCGAAUCUUUGAACGCACAUUGCGCCCGCCAGUAUUCUGGCGGGCAUGCCUGUUCGAGCGUCAUUUC
Molecule: ribosomal RNA, 169 nt
Filed under: Calonectria citri
Lineage: Eukaryota; Fungi; Ascomycota; Sordariomycetes; Hypocreales; Nectriaceae
Description: 5.8S ribosomal RNA
Rfam family: 5.8S ribosomal RNA
About the family: 5.8S ribosomal RNA (5.8S rRNA) is a component of the large subunit of the eukaryotic ribosome.
Source: RNAcentral